GGUGCAGCACAAUCAGCGGCAGAGCGAGCUGCCCUCCCACAUUGCCCUGCCAAUGUGCUCCAG
RNAcentral lists this small RNA (63 nucleotides) under Gopherus agassizii (Agassiz's desert tortoise). Its description in RNAcentral is "TUC338 (ENSGAGG00000017413.1)". The record is from RNAcentral. Lineage: Eukaryota; Metazoa; Chordata; Testudines; Testudinidae.